Molecule: small nuclear RNA, 52 nt
Filed under: Cervus elaphus hippelaphus
Lineage: Eukaryota; Metazoa; Chordata; Mammalia; Artiodactyla; Cervidae
Rfam family: U2 spliceosomal RNA
About the family: U2 is a small nuclear RNA (snRNA) component of the spliceosome (involved in pre-mRNA splicing).
Source: RNAcentral
AUUGCUUCUUGGCCUUUGGGCUAAGAUCAAGUGUAGUAUCUGUUCUUAUCAG